GCAGUUAAUAUUUUGAACUGAUUUUUUCUUCUUCUUGAUAUAUUAUAUUUUAGGAAUAUAUUGCAUAAGAUUAAUAAUUUGUUUUAAGAAGAAACAAAUGAGGAAAUAAUUUUAAUUAUUGUGAACUUUCUCCAUGUAAGAAAAAAGAAAAACAAAAAAAAAAUCUCCAUGUACAUGAAACUAGAUUAUCUAUUUUUGGCAAUAAAACAGUGGCCAAGUAUCCCACCCGAGGUGAAAUAAUUGAAGCGGUAGUUAAUAUUCCAUUCUACGACAAAAAAAAAUUACGUAAUGAGUUCAUUCUUUAUGACAGCUGAUGAAAACGUACGUUACACAAAACUUAG
RNAcentral lists this long non-coding RNA (341 nucleotides) under Capsella rubella. Its description in RNAcentral is "long non-coding RNA (CRUB_LNC003368)". Lineage: Eukaryota; Viridiplantae; Streptophyta; Magnoliopsida; Brassicales; Brassicaceae. The record is from RNAcentral.